UACGAAGGGGGCUAGCGUUGCUCGGAAUUACUGGGCGUAAAGGGCGCGUAGGCGGGUCGUCAAGUUGGGGGUGAAAGCCCAGGGCUCAACCCUGGAACUGCCUUCAAAACUGGCGACCUAGAGUAUGGCAGAGGUGUGUGGAACUCCGAGUGUAGAGGUGAAAUUCGUAGAUAUUCGGAAGAACACCAGUGGCGAAGGCGACACACUGGGCCAUUACUGACGCUGAGGCGCGAAAGCGUGGGGAGCAAACAGG
RNAcentral lists this ribosomal RNA (253 nucleotides) under uncultured bacterium. RNAcentral describes it as "partial 16S ribosomal RNA". It matches the Rfam family "Bacterial small subunit ribosomal RNA", at positions 524 to 776 of the family's 1533-position model. The record is from RNAcentral.